RNAcentral lists this long non-coding RNA (1191 nucleotides) under Ornithorhynchus anatinus (platypus). RNAcentral's name for it is "lncRNA (ENSOANG00000049204.1)". The record is from RNAcentral. Lineage: Eukaryota; Metazoa; Chordata; Mammalia; Monotremata; Ornithorhynchidae.
CCAGGGCCUCCCCUCCAGGGCGUGAGAGGGGCAGCUGCUCUGUCCUGUCUCUGCCUAUCCCUGUAUUGGAGGGGUCUCUCUCUCGCUCUUUUUCCUAUCUCUCACUCUCUCCUCUCUCUUGCUCUCUCUCAAUCUCAGGACCUCCUGCCCCAAGGACGGAGGCAGAACAAGAAUGCCCUGAGACCUGACCAGAUGAAUUCUUAGGGCCAAGGAAGAAGCCUGAGCCCCAGAUGGUUCAUGGGAGACCCGGCGGUGCCAGAGCCAGCUUCUCCGAGGACAUCUCGGUGUGGACAGGACAACGAGCGUCAUCCCCCGAGCUUGGGGCCGUUGGAGCUCUGUUGGGGACAAGUGGGAGGAAUCAGUGGAAGCCACAACCCGGACCUGAACCGGACCACCCAGUCUUCCGGACAGCGGACGACUAAGCGGCCACUCAGGGGACCCCGGGGGCACCGCACUGGCUCCACCCUGAGGGAAUCGGUCGGCACCAGGCCGUUGCCACCUGGCCGUCCCCCCCCCCACCCCACCCCGCCCUACCCCCAAGUCCAAAAUUGUAGUCCCUCCAUCCAGACAAUGCCAUUUCCUUUGGCGGCCAAGGGUCAAACGCUGCAUCACGGGUGCCACCCCAGUCUCUGGCAACUCUAAGAGGUGAUGGAUGUGGCGUGUCCGGUGUGAGAACGAGGGCCGGGACCAGAGCAGGGUCAGAGGGGCCGCCCUUCUUCGGACGGGACACGGGUUAUGGAAACGGGGGUCUAGAGUUCUGGACGGGUGCUCGGUUGACAGACCUCAGAGCAGGUGUGAAGUCGCCUGGGGCCCUUAAUUCUAUAGUCAGCGCGAUUUCCGUCUGAUCUGGUCUGUAUAGAGCUCUCUGGCCAUCUCUGGCCUCAAGAGUACAGACUCCCGUUACCGCCCGAGGGGGGUGCCCCUGAGGGAGCGGGGCACAGGGGCAGGAGUAGUCGGGGUGUGUGUAUGUGUGUGUGACUGCCAUGUGUCAUCCAUCCCUCCCGGAGGAGCCCAGUGAGGGGUGGGGUCGAUUAGUAGCAAAUGGUAGAGGGGGAAGAUGCAAAGUGGUUUUUCCCCCCUCACCGAAGGAAAUGGCACAGUCUGGCCCCCUCCUCUCCUCUUCCCCUCCCUGUCGCCUUGCCUGACUGGUCUUUUGUGAAACCAAAUGUAUCUGGAAUAAAAUGUAUACGU